GGUGACCCUGGAGGUUGGAAAAUAACAGUGUACACAAGAUCCUAGAGGACUCAGGAAGCCCUAAGGGAUAUGUUCUAUGACUUGAUCUGAACAGCUAAAUUUCUCUAGCUCAUUCCUUCCAGGAGAGGAUGUUCUGGCGUCGGCAGGAACCUGGGCUCCAGCAUGAAACAUUUUGUUUUGCUUGUUUGUUUUGUUUUGGAUUUGUGUUUUAUUGUUUCCUCUUCAUGUUUUGCUGAAUUUCCAAAUGGUUCUUAUAAAUUUAUGUUCAGUGUUUUUCCCUUUUGCUGCAUUUUUAAAGAAAAGGAGUAUUGAAAAUGAGAAGGCUUUGAAUGACAACAAACAACUCUUCUCUCCAUGUGUUGGAUUAAGGCAGACCGAAAUACUUCCACUGCAAACUGAACAUCUGGUUUAGUGAUGCACAUCGAGGGCGCGAUGCGGAAGGUCUGAGGAGACAAAGGAAAAUAGAGCAACGGAUCAUCAUGGAAUCAAAUAUAACUUUGAGAAAAUGCACUAAGCUAAGAAUUUAAAACCUUAUUUUUAAGACAUUUCUUGUAUUUCCCUCCUGGAUUGGUCUCUUCCCGCCCCAAGGCCAUACCUAGACCGUUCAAAUUUUAGUCUCAUAAAAAUUCUGAAACCAG
Molecule: long non-coding RNA, 638 nt
Organism: Suricata suricatta (meerkat)
Lineage: Eukaryota; Metazoa; Chordata; Mammalia; Carnivora; Herpestidae
Exons: 2
Source: RefSeq, a predicted model, not a curated record